This 892-nucleotide ribosomal RNA is filed under the name uncultured bacterium. RNAcentral's name for it is "bacterial SSU rRNA". It matches the Rfam family "Bacterial small subunit ribosomal RNA", at positions 8 to 916 of the family's 1533-position model. The record is from RNAcentral.
AGAGUUUGAUCCUGGCUCAGGACGAACGCUGGCGGCGUGCUUAACACAUGCAAGUCGAACGGUAAGGCCCUUCGGGGUACACGAGUGGCGAACGGGUGAGUAACACGUGGGUGAUCUGCCCUGCACUUUGGGAUAAGCCUGGGAAACUGGGUCUAAUACCGAAUAGGACCAUGGACUUCACGGUUUGUGGUGGAAAGCUUUUGCGGUGUGGGAUGGGCCCGCGGCCUAUCAGCUUGUUGGUGGGGUAAUGGCCUACCAAGGCGACGACGGGUAGCCGGCCUGAGAGGGUGUCCGGCCACACUGGGACUGAGAUACGGCCCAGACUCCUACGGGAGGCAGCAGUAGGGAAUAUUGGGCAAUGGGCGAAAGCCUGACCCAGCGACGCCGCGUGAGGGAUGAAGGUCUUCGGAUUGUAAACCUCUUUCAGUAGGGAAGAAGCGAAAGUGACGGUACCUAAAGAAGAAGCACCGGCUAACUAUGUGCCAGCAGCCGCGGUAAUACAUAGGGUGCAAGCGUUGUCCGGAAUUAUUGGGCGUAAAGAGCUCGUAGGUCGUUUGUCGCGUCGAUUGUGAAAAUCUGAGGCUCAACCUCAGACCUGCAGUCGAUACGGGCAAACUAGAGUGUGGUAGGGGAGACUGGAAUUCCUGGUGUAGCGGUGGAAUGCGCAGAUAUCAGGAGGAACACCAAUGGCGAAGGCAGGUCUCUGGGCCAUAACUGACGCUCAUGGACGAAAGCCAGGGGAGCGAAAGGGAUUAGAUACCCCUGUAGUCCUGGCCGUAAACGAUGAACACUAGGUGUCGGGGGAAUCGACCCCCUCGGUGUCGUAGCCAACGCGUUAAGUGUUCCGCCUGGGGAGUACGCACGCAAGUGUGAAACUCAAAGGAAUUGACGG